This 794-nucleotide ribosomal RNA is filed under the name uncultured bacterium. RNAcentral describes it as "bacterial SSU rRNA". It matches the Rfam family "Bacterial small subunit ribosomal RNA", at positions 8 to 796 of the family's 1533-position model. The record is from RNAcentral.
AGAGUUUGAUCCUGGCUCAGGAUGAACGCUAGCGGGAGGCCUAACACAUGCAAGUCGAACGGGAUUGAGAGCUUGCUCUCAUGAGAGUGGCGCACGGGUGAGUAACGCGUAUGCAACCUACCUUUAACUGAGGGAUAGCCCAUAGAAAUGUGGAUUAAUACCUCAUAGUUCUUUUGAUCCGCAUGGAUUAAAAGAUAAAGCUCCGGCGGUUAAAGAUGGGCAUGCGUGACAUUGGCUAGUUGGUAAGGUAACGGCUUACCAAGGCUACGAUGUCUAGGGGUUCUGAGAGGAUGAUCCCCCACACUGGUACUGAGACACGGACCAGACUCCUACGGGAGGCAGCAGUGGGGAAUUUUGGACAAUGGGCGAAAGCCUGAUCCAGCAAUGCCGCGUGAGUGAAGAAGGCCUUCGGGUUGUAAAGCUCUUUUGUCAGGGAAGAAACGGUGAAGGCUAAUAUCCUUCGCUAAUGACGGUACCUGAAGAAUAAGCACCGGCUAACUACGUGCCAGCAGCCGCGGUAAUACGUAGGGUGCAAGCGUUAAUCGGAAUUACUGGGCGUAAAGCGUGCGCAGGCGGUUUUGUAAGUCUGACGUGAAAUCCCCGGGCUCAACCUGGGAAUUGCGUUGGAGACUGCAAGGCUAGAAUCUGGCAGAGGGGGGUAGAAUUCCACGUGUAGCAGUGAAAUGCGUAGAGAUGUGGAGGAACACCGAUGGCGAAGGCAGCCCCCUGGGUCAAGAUUGACGCUCAUGCACGAAAGCGUGGGGAGCAAACAGGAUUAGAUACCCUGGUAGUCC